RNAcentral lists this ribosomal RNA (468 nucleotides) under uncultured bacterium. RNAcentral's name for it is "partial 16S ribosomal RNA". It matches the Rfam family "Bacterial small subunit ribosomal RNA", at positions 28 to 507 of the family's 1533-position model. The record is from RNAcentral.
GACGAACGCUGGCGGCGUGCUUAACACAUGCAAGUCGAACGGAAAGGCCCUGCUUUUGUGGGUUGCUCGAGUGGCGAACGGGUGAGUAACACGUGAGUAACCUGCCCUUGACUUUGGGAUAACUUCAGGAAACUUGUGCUAAUACCGGAUAGGAGCUCCUGCUGCAUGGUGGGGGUUGGAAAGUUUCGGCGGUUGGGGAUUGACUCGCGGCUUAUCCGCUUGUUGGUGGGGUAGUGGCUUACCAAGGCUUUGACGGGUAGGCGGCAUGAGAGGGUGACCGGAGAAAUGGGGACUGAGAGACGGACCAGAAUACAACGGGAGGCAGAAGUGGGGAAUAUUGCAAAAUGGGCGGAAGCGUGAUGAAGAAACGCCGCGAGCGGGAUGAAGGCCUUCGGGUUGUAAACAGAUUUCGCAUGUGACGAAGCGUGAGUGACGGUAAUGGGUAAAGAAGCACCGGCUAACUACGUG